This is a long non-coding RNA of Parasteatoda tepidariorum (common house spider), 497 nucleotides long. Lineage: Eukaryota; Metazoa; Arthropoda; Arachnida; Araneae; Theridiidae. The record is from RefSeq and is a predicted model, not a curated record.
UUAAAAUUAAAAAAAAGGUACAAUCAAUAAAACAUGAGCAGCUAAUAAAACUAUUUCUUGCUCUUGACCUGAGUUAGAACGAUUUGGUCAGUCAAGCGGGAACCCUGACCUCUCAAGAGGGAGAUGGCUCUCACCUUGUACUCAAUUGACCACAAUAGAAUUCUUUUCCAAGUUCAUUCAUGGGUUCUUGACCCCCUUCCACACUGACCCAUAGGAAUAAGAGGUUUUAAAAAGCGAGAGUUAAUGUCUGAUGCAAUUCUAGGUAUCUAAAGAUGUCUGCCGGAGGUAAAAGCCUUCUCACGUGCAUAUUUUUUAUCCAUUGAUUGAAAAGUUCUAAAAAUUGAUGUAGCAGACGAUUUUCGAAGUAGAGUAAGAGUAAAAGUAUUCUUUCAAAUUGAAAAAGAAGUCUGACUUCGAACAAGGGGUCAAUUUCUUAGAAGAACACAGAUGACUGGCGACUUUAAAAAAAGAUUUCGAAGAUAAAAUUGUUGAUGUUG